This 179-nucleotide unclassified non-coding RNA is filed under the name uncultured Ascomycota. RNAcentral's name for it is "sequence contains ITS2". Lineage: Eukaryota; Fungi; Ascomycota. The record is from RNAcentral.
AGUCCACUUAAGCCCUGCUUAGUAUUGGGAACCUACUGAAGAUGCUACUUGUAGCUACCCUGUAGUUCCUUAAAGACAUCGGCGGAGUUGUCAUAUCUCUGAGCUUAGUAAAUAUUCAAAGCUUCUGGGCCAUGACAUCCCCUGCCGUUAAACCUUCUACCUCUGUAGAGAUUUUUAAU